GACUACGAGUGAAAGCACUAGCGCGCGCCCAGCGCGGAGAAGAUACACGAGGCUGAGCUGCGGAGACAACGCGGCGACGAGGAGGAAGACGAGGCGCCUCAAUGCGGGCCGAUCCGGAUCCGCAACCUGGAGGACCUGAUCCGGCAGCUGGAGCACCACUCCAGCCGGCACAUGAGCCCGUCCGGCUCCGAGGACAUCCGCAUGUCCGAGACCGAGGCCGACCGCCACUACCGGAUCGAGCCCGGGGAAGUCCCACCUCGUGUCUCGCCUUCCAGCCGCUGCCGCGGGCGCAUGCCCGGCGAGGAAGAAUCGCGGUUCGGCUACCCGCGC
Long non-coding RNA from Ostrinia nubilalis (European corn borer), 330 nucleotides. RefSeq lists it as uncharacterized. The record is from RefSeq and is a predicted model, not a curated record. The transcript has 3 exons. NCBI's taxonomy places the organism in Eukaryota, Metazoa, Arthropoda, Insecta, Lepidoptera, Crambidae.